GUCCUAGUUACCAGCACGUUAUGUGGGCACUCUAAGGAGACUGCCGGUGACAACCGGAGGAAGGUGGGGAUGACGUCAAGUCAUCAUGGCCCUUACGGCCUGGGCUACACACGUGCUACAAUGGUCGGUACAAAGGGUUGCCAAGUCGCGAGGUGGAGCUAAUCCCAUAAAACCGAUCGUAGUCCGGAUCGCAGUCUGCAACUCGACUGCGUGAAGUCGGAAUCGCUAGUAAUCGUGAAUCAGAAUGUCACGGUGAAUACGUUCCCGGGCCUU
Molecule: ribosomal RNA, 273 nt
Filed under: uncultured Pseudomonas sp.
Lineage: Bacteria; Pseudomonadati; Pseudomonadota; Gammaproteobacteria; Pseudomonadales; Pseudomonadaceae
Description: partial 16S ribosomal RNA
Rfam family: Bacterial small subunit ribosomal RNA
Source: RNAcentral